RNAcentral lists this transfer RNA (66 nucleotides) under Helictopleurus quadripunctatus. Its description in RNAcentral is "tRNA-Arg". The record is from RNAcentral. Lineage: Eukaryota; Metazoa; Arthropoda; Insecta; Coleoptera; Scarabaeidae.
AAAUAAGAAACAAAUAAUUGUAUUUAGUUUCGACCUAAAAUUUUGAUGAAAAUUCAUCCUUAUUUA